Cimex lectularius (bed bug) is the source of this 119-nucleotide long non-coding RNA. RefSeq lists it as uncharacterized. The record is from RefSeq and is a predicted model, not a curated record. The transcript has 3 exons. NCBI's taxonomy places the organism in Eukaryota, Metazoa, Arthropoda, Insecta, Hemiptera, Cimicidae.
GACAAGUGAAGGACAACAAAUCUUUUGAUGACCUCUGCGAAUUCAGGCAAAAGGAGAUCAGAUCCGGUUUGAUGGAGUCCUUUCAACCUGUAUAUUAUAUAUUUUAAAAUGUAUCCUUU